GCCUUUGCGGGCGGCUAACACAUGCAAGUCGAGCGGAUGAAGGGAGCUUGCUCCUGGAUUCAGCGGCGGACGGGUGAGUAAUGCCUAGGAAUCUGCCUGGUAGUGGGGGAUAACGUCCGGAAACGGGCGCUAAUACCGCAUACGUCCUGAGGGAGAAAGUGGGGGAUCUUCGGACCUCACGCUAUCAGAUGAGCCUAGGUCGGAUUAGCUAGUUGGUGGGGUAAAGGCCUACCAAGGCGACGAUCCGUAACUGGUCUGAGAGGAUGAUCAGUCACACUGGAACUGAGACACGGUCCAGACUCCUACGGGAGGCAGCAGUGGGGAAUAUUGGACAAUGGGCGAAAGCCUGAUCCAGCCAUGCCGCGUGUGUGAAGAAGGUCUUCGGAUUGUAAAGCACUUUAAGUUGGGAGGAAGGGCAGUAAGUUAAUACCUUGCUGUUUUGACGUUACCAACAGAAUAAGCACCGGCUAACUUCGUGCCAGCAGCCGCGGUAAUACGAAGGGUGCAAGCGUUAAUCGGAAUUACUGGGCGUAAAGCGCGCGUAGGUGGUUCAGCAAGUUGGAUGUGAAAUCCCCGGGCUCAACCUGGGAACUGCAUCCAAAACUACUGAGCUAGAGUACGGUAGAGGGUGGUGGAAUUUCCUGUGUAGCGGUGAAAUGCGUAGAUAUAGGAAGGAACACCAGUGGCGAAGGCGACCACCUGGACUGAUACUGACACUGAGGUGCGAAAGCGUGGGGAGCAAACAGGAUUAGAUACCCUGGUAGUCCACGCCGUAAACGAUGUCGACUAGCCGUUGGGAUCCUUGAGAUCUUAGUGGCGCAGCUAACGCGAUAAGUCGACCGCCUGGGGAGUACGGCCGCAGGUUAAAACUCAAAUGAAUUUGACGGGGGGCCCGCACAAGCGGUGGAGCAUGUGGUUUAAUUCGAAGCACGCGAAGAAACCUUACCCUGGCCUUUGACAUGCUGAGAACUUUCCAGAGAUGGGAUUGGUUGCUUCGGUGAACUUCAGGACACAGGAGACUGCAUGGGCUGGUCGUGCAGCUUCCGUGUCGCUGGACACUGCUGGAAUAAGUACCGUGUAACGAGCCGAAACCCCUUGCUCCUUACUUACCAGUCACGUCGGGUGGGGCGACUCCUUAGGUAAACUGUCCAGUGACCAACCGGGAGGACAGGUGUGGUGAUGACGUCGAGGUCGAUCAUCGUUCCAUUACGUGCUCGGGCCUGUAACUCACCGCUGU
Molecule: ribosomal RNA, 1237 nt
Filed under: Pseudomonas aeruginosa
Lineage: Bacteria; Pseudomonadati; Pseudomonadota; Gammaproteobacteria; Pseudomonadales; Pseudomonadaceae
Description: bacterial SSU rRNA
Rfam family: Bacterial small subunit ribosomal RNA
Source: RNAcentral